AGGACGAACGCUGGCGGCGUGCUUAACACAUGCAAGUCGAGCGGAAAGGCCCUUCGGGGUACUCGAGCGGCGAACGGGUGAGUAACACGUGAGUAAUCUGCCCCUAGCUCUGGGAUAGCUCCGGGAAACCGGGAUUAAUACCAGAUACGACCACUUUAGACAUCUGCCGUGGUGGAAAGAAUUUCGGCUAGGGAUGAGCUCGCGGCCUAUCAGCUUGUUGGUGGGGUAACGGCCUACCAAGGCGACGACGGGUA
Molecule: ribosomal RNA, 254 nt
Filed under: uncultured bacterium
Lineage: Bacteria
Description: partial small subunit ribosomal RNA
Rfam family: Bacterial small subunit ribosomal RNA
Source: RNAcentral